Molecule: long non-coding RNA, 1086 nt
Organism: Polypterus senegalus (gray bichir)
Lineage: Eukaryota; Metazoa; Chordata; Cladistia; Polypteriformes; Polypteridae
Exons: 3
Source: RefSeq, a predicted model, not a curated record
UGUGUGAAUAUUAAAAAGAUCAAUAAGAUCGACUACAUGUAGUGACAUCUGCACCUUAUAAGCCGUGGCUUAUUGCAGGACUUAAUUAAAUUCGUUCACGUCCUAACAUUUUAGGACACUAUUCGGAAAUGUCAGGCAGUUAAGUGAUAUCUUAUUGACUCAAGUGUCAUUUUAAGGAGUCGGUCCUAUCGGGCAGUCUGGAGAAGACGCGACUUGCAUGACAGUUUCUGCGCCGCAGUCUCCACUGUCACGUGUUGGCGCGCUCCCUGUGCCGUUGUCAUGGAGACCUUGUCAGUAGUAGAAACUGCAAGACUCGGUUCAUUCAUCAUUUCACAGUGUCUGCGAAAGACGCCGGUUGGACGUGAACCUGAUUCAUACUUGAUGCUGUACGUCUCUUUUAUUCCAGAGGUGAAGACUGUGCUUCCGAGCCUCGAGUACUGGAUCGCAGCUGCCAAGGACAAUUCAGAUCGGUUUUCGGAUCAUCUAGCAAAGAUACAAGCAAGCUGCAGUAGAGUGCGGUUACGAUGGUCCAGUAUCGGCCACCCCCACAGCAGCCGACAGAGAGCCCAGAAUCACCAUCACGAUCAUUGACCAGUCAGAACUCACGAGUCAGGAUGUUUGGAAAGCAGAGCCACAAAACAGAAAGAAAGCAGAAUACCAGGUUUCAACAGAAGGGGGCACUAGAGAAGCCAGAGGACGAGGGAGGAGGAGUGUCAACAGGCCCAAGAAAGACAGUCUAGACAGAGAGAUGUUGUGGAAGCAGCACCAUCAUUGGGAUUCCCCAGGAGCACCGUAGUCUCAGUAAUUCUGAAAUGGAGGACGCUUGUGACCACCAGAAUUCUUCCUAGAGUUGGUUAUCUGGUCAACCUGAGUAGCCGGGCAAAAAGGGGCAUUGGUCAGAGAGGUGACCAAUGGUCACGCCAACAGAGCUUCAGAGGUCCCCUGCUGAGAUGGGAGGACCUGUUGGAAUGACAACCAUCUCAGCAGCCCUCAAUCAGUAUAUGGCAGAGCGGCCAGACUCAAGCCACUCUUGAGUAAAAGGCAUGUUACAAAAACAGAACCUGCUCAAUUUUCCUCACCUCCCAC